GACGAACGCUGGCGGCGUGCUUAACACAUGCAAGUCGAACGGAAAGGCCCUGCUUUUGUGGGGUGCUCGGGUGGCGAACGGGUGAGUAACACGUGAGUAACCUGCCCUUGACUUUGGGAUAACUUCAGGAAACUGGGGCUAAUCCCGGAUAGGAGCUCCUGCUGCAUGGUGGGGGUUGGAAAGUUUCGGCGGUUGGGGAUGGACUCGCGGCUUAUCAGCUUGUUGGUGGGGUAGUGGCUUACCAAGGCUUUGACGGGUAGCCGGCCUGAGAGGGUGACCGGCCACAUUGGGACUGAGAUACGGCCCAGACUCCUACGGGAGGCAGCAGUGGGGAAUAGUGCACAAUGGGCGGAAGCCUGAUGCAGCAACGCCGCGUGCGGGAUGACGGCCUUCGGGUUGUAAACCGCUUUUGCCUGUGACGAAGCGUGAGUGACGGUAAUGGGUAAAGAAGCACCGGCUAACUACGUG
Molecule: ribosomal RNA, 468 nt
Filed under: uncultured bacterium
Lineage: Bacteria
Description: partial 16S ribosomal RNA
Rfam family: Bacterial small subunit ribosomal RNA
Source: RNAcentral